Molecule: ribosomal RNA, 433 nt
Filed under: uncultured bacterium
Lineage: Bacteria
Description: partial 16S ribosomal RNA
Rfam family: Bacterial small subunit ribosomal RNA
Source: RNAcentral
AACGAACGCUGGCGGCAUGCCUAACACAUGCAAGUCGAACGAGACCUUCGGGUCUAGUGGCGCACGGGUGCGUAACGCGUGGGAACCUGCCCUUAGGUUCGGAAUAACUCCCCGAAAGGGGUGCUAAUACCGGAUAAUGUCUUCGGACCAAAGAUUUAUCGCCUUUGGAUGGGCCCGCGUUGGAUUAGCUAGUUGGUAGGGUAAAAACCUACCAAGGCGACGAUCCAUAGCUGGUCUGAGAGGAUGAUCAGCCACACUGGGACUGAGACACGGCCCAGACUCCUACGGGAAGCAGCAGUGGGGAAUAUUGGACAAUGGGCGAAAGCCUGAUCCAGCAAUGCCGCGUGAGUGAUGAAGGCCUUAGGGUUGUAAAGCUCUUUUACCCGGGAUGAUAAUGACAGUACCGGGAGAAUAAGCUCCGGCUAACUCCGUG